Molecule: long non-coding RNA, 230 nt
Filed under: Glycine max (soybean)
Lineage: Eukaryota; Viridiplantae; Streptophyta; Magnoliopsida; Fabales; Fabaceae
Description: long non-coding RNA (GMAX_LNC003004)
Source: RNAcentral
CUGUGUAUUGACUUCUCUUAUAUGAUUGGCAUUGAGCAUUGAGCAUUGAGGGUGAAUCUUCUGUUUUGACUUUCCUCUUUAGCAAAAAGAAAAGGGUGAAUCUUCUGCUACAUGUAUUGAAUAUUCCAGGCUGCCAUUUGUGCAGUUACGACGAAUUGCAUUGUGAAGUGACUCGGUGGCACCUUCAUGCCGUCACUAAUAAGGGCCAUUGGACAAGGUGGUGCCAAGGG